This 207-nucleotide ribosomal RNA is filed under the name uncultured Pseudomonadota bacterium. RNAcentral describes it as "uncultured proteobacterium partial 16S ribosomal RNA". It matches the Rfam family "Bacterial small subunit ribosomal RNA", at positions 568 to 774 of the family's 1533-position model. Lineage: Bacteria; Pseudomonadati; Pseudomonadota. The record is from RNAcentral.
CGUGUAGGCGGCUGAGCAAGUCAGAUGUGAAAUCCCUGGGCUUAACCCAGGAAGUGCAUUUGAAACUGCUUAGCUUGAGUAAGGAAGAGGGAAGUGGAAUUCCUGGUGUAGAGGUGAAAUUCGUAGAUAUCAGGAGGAACACCGGUGGCGAAGGCGACUUCCUGGACCAAUACUGACGCUGAGGCGCGAAGGCGUGGGGAUCAAACA